This 464-nucleotide ribosomal RNA is filed under the name uncultured bacterium. Its description in RNAcentral is "partial 16S ribosomal RNA". It matches the Rfam family "Bacterial small subunit ribosomal RNA", at positions 29 to 508 of the family's 1533-position model. The record is from RNAcentral.
ACGAACGCUGGCGGCGUGCUUAACACAUGCAAGUCGAACGGAAAGGCCCUGCUUGCCGGGUACUCGAGUGGCGAACGGGUGAGUAACACGUGGGUGAUCUGCCCUGCACUUCGGGAUAAGCCUGGGAAACUGGGUCUAAUACCGGAUAGGAGCCAUUUUUAGUGUGAUGGUUGGAAAGUUUUUUCGGUGUAGGAUGAGCUCGCGGCCUAUCAGCUUGUUGGUGGGGUAAUGGCCUACCAAGGCGGCGACGGGUAGCCGGCCUGAGAGGGUGGACGGCCACAUUGGGGCUGAGUGCGGCCCCGGACUCCGCGGGGGGGCGGAGGGGGGGAUUAUGGCAAAAGGGGCCAAAGCGUGUGCCGGCGCCCCCGGGUGGGGGGUGCGGUCUUGGGGGUUGAAACCUCUUUCGCGUGGGAAGAAAGUUUUUGGGGAGGGAACCUAGAAAAGAGGCCCCGACAAGCACCGGC